This 504-nucleotide ribosomal RNA is filed under the name uncultured bacterium. RNAcentral describes it as "partial 16S ribosomal RNA". It matches the Rfam family "Bacterial small subunit ribosomal RNA", at positions 30 to 523 of the family's 1533-position model. The record is from RNAcentral.
AUUGAACGCUGGCGGCAUGCCUUACACAUGCAAGUCGAACGGCAGCAUGGAGAGCUUGCUCUCUGAUGGCGAGUGGCGAACGGGUGAGUAAUGCAGCGGAACGUACCGUGUAAUGGGGGAUAACGUAGCGAAAGUUACGCUAAUACCGCAUACGACCUGAGGGUGAAAGCAAGGGAUCGCAAGACCUUGCGUUAUACGAGCGGCCGAUGUCGGAUUAGCUAGUUGGUGAGGUAAAGGCUCACCAAGGCGACGAUCUGUAGCGGGUCUGAGAGGAUGAUCCGCCACACUGGGACUGAGACACGGCCCAGACUCCGACGGGAGGCAGCAGUGGGGAAUUUUGGACAAUGGGGGCAACCCUGAUCCAGCCAUGCCGCGUGAGUGAAGAAGGCCUUCGGGUUGUAAAGCUCUUUCGGCCGGGAAGAAAUCGCACAGGCUAAUACUCUGUGUGGAUGACGGUACCGGCAUAAGAAGCACCGGCUAACUACGUGCCAGCCGCCGCAGUAA